RNAcentral lists this unclassified non-coding RNA (84 nucleotides) under plant metagenome. RNAcentral's name for it is "partial contains 5.8S ribosomal RNA, internal transcribed spacer 2, and large subunit ribosomal RNA". The record is from RNAcentral.
CAUCGGGCUCCUUGCUGCUGCGGCACUCUGGGCAAUUCCGACCCCAGCGCUCGCGCAAAAAGGCAAGGCCGCUCCCGCAGCACA